This is a long non-coding RNA of Suricata suricatta (meerkat), 450 nucleotides long. RefSeq lists it as uncharacterized. NCBI's taxonomy places the organism in Eukaryota, Metazoa, Chordata, Mammalia, Carnivora, Herpestidae. The record is from RefSeq and is a predicted model, not a curated record. The transcript is spliced from 4 exons.
GCCUAAUCUAAUGGGCCGAGUUCUUUGGUCCUAUCCUGUUCAAUAUCUUUAUCAAGGCCUUCAAUGAAAACAGGGAGCACAUUCUGAGUCCUCAGUGAAUACAGAGGGUUUGGCUCCAGAGGAGAGGAAAACCCAGACCUUGUAGGGCCCCUCCAAACCCCAGGAACACAGAACAACUCCAACUCCAGACCACUUCCAUGGCUCCUGGAAAGCCCGCCAGCCAGCAGGAGCUGUGUAUCUGCAUGCCAACCACGACUCAGAAAUUGUGUCGAAUGUUCGACUCAACUGGCCCAUGCAGAUGAAGGAAGAAGGAUUGGAAUAAAGUUUCUUGCUGUCCUCAUUCUAGCUCUACCCACUGUCACUUCCUCAGAGAGGCUUCCCUGGACCCAAACUGGAUAACCUCUCUGGCCACUGACCAUUCUCUCUGCCCUUACCCUACGGGAUUUUUCU